AUGCAAGAAGCACAUCCCGUCGCUUACUUGAGUAAGGCACUCUGUCCGCGGAACCUGGGCCUCUCAGCAUACGAGAAGGAAUGUUUGGCACUGCUGUUGGCAAUCGACCAUUGGCGACCAUACCUCCAACACGAGUUUCUGAUCCGCACCGAUCAAAAGAGCCUGGUCGAUCUCACUGAUCAGCGCUUGAAUACCCCAAUUCAACAGCGCGCGUUUACCAAAUUGGUGGGGCUACAAUUUUGUAUUUAGUACAAGGCAGGACUCCUAAACCGAGCCGCAGAUGCAUUAUCGAGACGUCGACAUGAGCAACAUUCAGAGCUGAAUGUCGUGUCAGUGUGCAGACCAGUGUGGCUGGACGCUAUUGUUGCCGGCUAUCAGAAAGAUCCAAUUGCGCGGCAGAAACUAGCGCAGCUAGCAAUAAAUCCGGAGGUCGAGAGUGGUUUCACCUUGCAGGAAGGUGUGAUUCGCGAGCACGACCGCGUGUGGAUUGCUGAGGACAAAGACACACAGCAGUCUAUCAUGAAAUCGCUGCACGACAGUGUAGUGGGGGGGGGGGGCACUCGGGAUUCCACGCUACAUACAAUCGAAUCCGACGACUCUUCUCAUGGAAAGGGAUGA
RNAcentral lists this ribosomal RNA (618 nucleotides) under Triticum aestivum (bread wheat). RNAcentral describes it as "partial small subunit ribosomal RNA". The record is from RNAcentral. Lineage: Eukaryota; Viridiplantae; Streptophyta; Magnoliopsida; Poales; Poaceae.